This 31-nucleotide non-coding RNA is filed under the name Mus musculus (house mouse). The record is from RNAcentral. Lineage: Eukaryota; Metazoa; Chordata; Mammalia; Rodentia; Muridae.
UCCUAACUACAUCAUUGCCUAUAGUCAGCAA